UUACGCCUUCAUGAAGCCGGAAUUGCUAGUAAUGGCAGGUCAGCAUACUGCCGUGAAUACGUUCCCGGGCCUUGUACACACCGCCCGUCACACCAUGAGAGUUGGGAAUACCCGAAGCCUGUGAGCUAACGUUAAGAGGCAGCAGUCGAAGGUAGAAUCAAUGAUUGGGGUGAAGUCGUAACAAGGUAAC
RNAcentral lists this ribosomal RNA (190 nucleotides) under uncultured bacterium. RNAcentral describes it as "partial 16S ribosomal RNA". It matches the Rfam family "Bacterial small subunit ribosomal RNA", at positions 1310 to 1500 of the family's 1533-position model. The record is from RNAcentral.